This 77-nucleotide transfer RNA is filed under the name Vibrio vulnificus. RNAcentral's name for it is "tRNA-Arg". The record is from RNAcentral. Lineage: Bacteria; Pseudomonadati; Pseudomonadota; Gammaproteobacteria; Vibrionales; Vibrionaceae.
AGGUAAUUGUGUGUAAUUCUGUGACUACAUCACUUCUAAGGAUGUGGUCGUAGGUUCGAAUCCUACAGGGCGUGCCA